Molecule: antisense RNA, 75 nt
Filed under: Streptomyces bingchenggensis BCW-1
Lineage: Bacteria; Bacillati; Actinomycetota; Actinomycetes; Kitasatosporales; Streptomycetaceae
Description: ASpks TB sRNA
Rfam family: ASpks TB sRNA
Source: Rfam by way of RNAcentral
CUUCACCGACCCCAGCCACAACGGACGCUCCGCGUCCCGGUCCCGGCCAUACGUCGCCAGCAGCGCUUCGGCUUC